RNAcentral lists this transfer RNA (71 nucleotides) under Candidatus Lloydbacteria bacterium RIFCSPHIGHO2_02_FULL_51_22. Its description in RNAcentral is "tRNA-Gly". It matches the Rfam family "tRNA". From Rfam's summary of the family: Transfer RNA (tRNA) molecules are approximately 80 nucleotides in length. Their secondary structure includes four short double-helical elements and three loops (D, anti-codon, and T loops). RNAcentral also lists the same sequence under 2 other names. Lineage: Bacteria; Candidatus Lloydiibacteriota. The record is from RNAcentral.
GCGGCUGUAGUUUAGUGGCAGAACUGGUGCUUCCCAAGCAUCGGACGCGAGUUCGAUUCUCGCCAGCCGCA